Long non-coding RNA from Pimephales promelas (fathead minnow), 1184 nucleotides. RefSeq lists it as uncharacterized. The record is from RefSeq and is a predicted model, not a curated record. Lineage: Eukaryota; Metazoa; Chordata; Actinopteri; Cypriniformes; Leuciscidae.
GACAUCUUGGAUGACAUGGGGAUGAGUAAAUUACUAGCAAAAGUUUUUUUCAAAAGUGAACUACUCCUUUAACUCUCUUGACACUAAGGUCACAACACAAAAAUGGUAAAGGCUCUAAAAAUAACUUGAAAGCCAUAAUACCAUAAAAAAAAGAUAAUCCUCAACUAGGAAAAUAGCCUUUCAGAAAUAUUGCAUUUGGAGGCAAAUAACCACAAGUUAAUGGUAUUUUAGCAGAAACUGUGGUUACCUUUUUUUAAAGGUCAAGAAAGAGAUAAAGAAAGGGUUAAUCUAAUUCACUUUCCUUUUUUCUUUAUUCCACUGACGCUCUGGCUUCACACUCUCUUCUCUCAUACAUCUCUCCGACUCCUUUAUGACUCUGAAAGGGCUCCCUAAAAUGUCAGAUGUGUUACACCCCACCUUUACUCCACGACUGGAACACCAAUAAUGAAAAUGGGCCUUGCCGUUCUCUCUUAAUUUGAUUUCACUAGCAGGUACACGGAGGGAUUUCUGGAAUACUGAAACAAAGGAGAUGGAUCCAGCUCUCUGAUGAAGAAGGAUAACCGUGAGGAAGAGGACAUGCGCACGUGCAUCGUUACGGGUGGAAUACCUAACUCAAUUGGAUAGACCUACAACCAAUAAGACCAACACAGGUUUGGACCGUGACUUGACUGAUUUUAAUAAAUGGAGAGACGAUGAAAGACACCAGGCUGAAGAAGCGCGUUCAUUUGAGCCUUUAGAGAAAAGAGACCGGGAGCCAAAAUGAUGUUUUAAUUAUGUAUUUAAUGAUGAUUUAAAUAUAAAAUGAUGUGGGUAUGGUGUGCCACGUGUGAGUAGUAUAACAAAGCGUCACCAUUGUUUGAUGCAGCGAUGGCUUUGACAUCUCUCGCCUUUGACAUCUCUCUCUCUGGCUCUGACAUUUGAGUUGCAUCGCCGUGAUGCCAAUUUCGGUUCCUUCUUUUACUUGGUCUUCCAUGAGUGCGACCAAAGGAGAAACCACAAUGACAACUGGGUUUUCAUUGCGUCCUAGCUUCUUAGCGACCAUUGGAGCCAGCUGAUAAAUGAAACUUUUGCCGAAUCCUGUAGGAAGGAAGGCAAAACACAUCUUUCUGAUCGACAAAUGAAAAAAAGGUACAAAAGCUGUCACUGGGGCUGUACCUUUUCAAAAGGUAAACUUUUAAAUUUUU